Non-coding RNA from Pygoscelis adeliae (Adelie penguin), 63 nucleotides. The record is from Rfam. NCBI's taxonomy places the organism in Eukaryota, Metazoa, Chordata, Aves, Sphenisciformes, Spheniscidae.
CACACUUUAGUGAAGACUACAUAGAAAACCUCUGAGGUGUAUGGAAGUCAGAUGUCAGGUGUG